GGGCCUGUGGGCUAGCCAGGAUAUACUGCCAGCCUUCGGAGUUGGCGACGUGGGUUCGAAUCCCACCAGGCCCG
This 74-nucleotide transfer RNA is filed under the name Methanobacteriota archaeon. Its description in RNAcentral is "Euryarchaeota archaeon (freshwater metagenome) tRNA-Arg". It matches the Rfam family "tRNA". From Rfam's summary of the family: Transfer RNA (tRNA) molecules are approximately 80 nucleotides in length. Their secondary structure includes four short double-helical elements and three loops (D, anti-codon, and T loops). The record is from RNAcentral. Lineage: Archaea; Methanobacteriati; Methanobacteriota.